UAGCUUUCCGAGUGACUUGCCCUUACCUUGAAGUACUUUAUUCAGCUUUUUGCACUUUUAAUUUUACUUGAACAAGUCACCAACCUUUUGACGUGAAGGUACAUAUUUGUGAUACCCACCCCCAGUUACUUAGUUGGUCACCUGUCCAAGUGGCUACUAGCUCUGUUCAUAGUCUUUUGACCAUUGGAACAUUUUUCAAUUUGUUCUUUUGAAGUCUAAGCCUUUG
RNAcentral lists this long non-coding RNA (226 nucleotides) under Manihot esculenta (cassava). RNAcentral's name for it is "long non-coding RNA (MESC_LNC006523)". The record is from RNAcentral. Lineage: Eukaryota; Viridiplantae; Streptophyta; Magnoliopsida; Malpighiales; Euphorbiaceae.